ACGACCGCUCCGCUGUGGCACACCAGGUGCUGAAGAACACUAAGUGAAGCCACAGAGAAGCCUUCCAGGUUGCAAAGUGAGUCCUCAAGGCUGGCCUCUCCCCCAGAGCUCACGUAGGAGGAACUUGUCGUAAACUCUACCCCCAAUAUGGGGCUUGAACGCACAACUCUGAGAUCAAGAGUCACGUGCUCUAUGGACUGGGCCAGCCAGGCACCCCAUAAUGAAUUUAAAACAGAGAUUGUUCUACUUCCUCAACCUUGGAUCAAAUCAAGAACCAGAGCAACUCAAGAACCCUUGCAUCAUUGCCUCCCUCAUGAAAAACAGGAACUCCUACAAGGAAAGGAAAAGAAAAGAAAGUUGUUUGCUCCACUUUAAAAUGAGGCAAUAACGUGAAAGCAGUAACCACGAACACUUAUUAUGUGCCAGACAAACCCUGUUCUAAGAGCCGUACCCAUGUUAGCUCAUCUGUUCCUCAAAGCAACCCUAAGAGGAGGUGUCAUCUCCUCUAUUUUACAUAUAGAGAAACUGAGGCAUGGGUUAAGGGACUUGCUCCAAUCACACAAGCCAGUAAGUAGUGUGACCGGGACUCCUGUCAGGCUGGUGGGCUCCAGUGCCUGCCCACAACACCAUCCUAUACUGUUCCUGUAGUUGCCGGGUACCAAAAAUGUGAGUGGUUGAGGUCCUCAGAGGUGGCAUGAGGGCCAACGACUUGAACAGGUGGAUGGUGGUAGGAGAGAGGUGAUGUAUUGGAAUGGUAAGAUAAACUGACACAGCAUAUUCUCAGAGUAAAAACCUACCAAUGCUAGACUGUGUCCCUCUAUAAGGCAGUAGCAUGCCCUCAGUCUGGACUGAGCUGUAUAAACUCAAGGCUCAAGGAACACAGGUACCUGAUACUAGCUGUGUUUCUGGCACAUCAAUGGAUGGUGACUGGGGAGGUUUUAAAAUAUGCCUGCAAAUUCUACAAACACUUCUCUUCAAAAGGUGCAGCCUAGUUUCCUUCCCAUUGAACAUGGUUUCUAACAAACAGAAUGUGGCAGAAGUGAUGCUAUAGGACUCCCGAGGCCAGGCCAUAAAAGGGAUAGCUUCCACCUCGCUCUCUCUGGUUUGUUAGCUCUAGAGGAGGCCAUCCACCAGGUUAUGACAUCGCCCAAGUAGCUCUGUAGAGAGACCCACGUGUGGAGAAGAACUCCAUUGCCAGUCAUGUGAGGGAGCCACUCUGAAUAGAUCCUCCAGCCCCAGACGAGCCUCCAGUGAUUCCAGUCCCCACAGAGACAAACCAUCUCCUCUUUAUCAGAACUGUUGUCCCACAGAACCAGGAGGAGUACUUAUUGUUGUUUUAAGCCACAAGGUUGAAUAAUCGGUUACACGGCAACAGAUGACAGACAGACUGACUUACCCUCUCUGCCCACCAGGGACUUAUAUCCUGGCUCUGUCUGGAAGGGGUGGGGAAGGGACAUGUUAGCACUAAAAGACUCCUUUGUAGGGAAAGAUGGUUUUCCGAAUUGUGGAGAACAUGCUUCUGGCUUUAUAGCCACAGAAGGGCUUUUCCUAGGACUGGAAAAAGUUAACUAUGAAAGCAAAGUAAUGAUUCUGCUAAAACCACUUAAAAUACCUGGUUAUAAAACUUCUAACAAAUGUUAAACUUUUCAUGUUUAAAUGGUAAACCUGCUCCGGCCCAUGGCCAAUGUCUAGGUGCUUUGACCAAAGGUUUUUAUCUGUUAUAUAUUAGUCAUUCUUUGUCAGUCAGGAUAGCAGUGUAAAACUCAAGGUAUUUUGAUCCAGAUGGUGGAAAAACUCUUUCAUUUCUGUAUUCUUCUAAUAAUCACCCCAAAACAUUGGCCAUAAUUCCAUUACAACUUCCAAUUCCACCAAAAUCUUUUUAAUAUGGAACAGCCUCUUAUUUAAUCGUUCCCAGGGGCUGGAUUCAAAGAUUUUCAGUAGAAAGAAGGUCUAUUAAAAGGCGUGUUGUUGUGUCUUGCAACUUGAAAACAGCCCGUUCCUCAGUGCCAGGGGUUUUGUGUUAGGGAAGCAGUCUUAACCCCCCGAGUGCAUCAGACAACACCAAGAGCCUUCUGUCAGAGACGUGUGAUGAGGUGGGGAUGGACCCCUCUGCUCUCCUGUCUUAUUUGGACUAAGCUAGGCAAAAAGAGUUUAAUUUCACACCCUGCCCAUUAUGAGCAAAGGCAGCAGAAUGUUCAAUAUUCAGAAAAAGACACGCUGACCCACACUGUUCAAAAUUCAAGGCUGAUAUCAACGGUGUGCCAGACUUCUCUGGCAGGCAAGGCGCAGGACAGGACCAUUAACAAGCUGAUCACAUCUAUAGCAAAGGCAGGGGCUAUUAGACAAAGGUCCCAAGGCAGUAAAUGAGAAAAAAUAUUCCAAGUAGUUGGGACUGAAAUAUGCUCAUACUUGGGGCAAAACUGAUUAUUUGAAACACAUUACAUAAAAAUGAAGACUGGGUCACCCCAAAAGUUUAGAGAGCAUCUUUCCAGCCCUUUUUUAGUCCUGAGUAUAAAGUCCUAUAGAGGAAGCCCUUCUAGAGUGUGAGGCCUUUAUGCGGUGAUGCACCAAACCGUUCAAGCCUCAUCUAAACCACCUUUGAGGCCUUCAGGAAAGAGGAUCUAUGUCCAAAUGGCAAAGUUUAAACAGCCUUCAUUCAAGACUAACCUGACGUUGUUACUCAGACUUUCUAAUAAACCAUGCAAAACAACUCUCCUUCCAGCAUCAUCAUUACCUGGCAUGGAGAAUGGAGGGAGCAGCCAAUUUAUUUGCUCGUUCACUGCUUUGAAGCUUUGUCCUUAAUUCAUUCAUCUCAGCAUCUUUAAAUUGGAGUUCGGACUGCAAUGAUUGGAGCUGGAAGGCAAAAGCAACAUACUAAUGGUCUUCUUGAAAUUUUACCAACACGCCACGCAGCAUGGGGAGACCUGCUCCAGCCCAUGGCCAGCAGUAACUGCUAUUAUUCCCUGAGCACACUCUGUGCCUGUAUGGCACCAGUCACAGCACCAGUCACAGAGUUUUUGACAUCCCAUCUAAUCUGGGGACCUUAUGAACAUCUGUAAAAAAACAGUUUCCAUAUACUUUUCUGGAUCCAACACUUUCCCACUUUUGCCAGUCAAUGCUGAAAAGAAUCACUCUUGAAAGCAAAUUAGAGAAAGAUCUAGUAAGCAGUAUAGGUAUUUUCCAACCUAAAAAUGUGAUUCAAACUCAUAAAUGAUCCUUAUGAAAUGACAAACAGAUCCUGCCUCCCCCUACUCCCCACCCCUCAAUUUUAAGAGUAUCAUCUAAAGGCUGAAAAGGUGCUGUGGGAACCUCACUGGUCAGAACUUGGUGAUCUGUUAUUCGACAAUAUUUACUGAGCACCUAUACCUAUACCUACUGAGCACCGGGCACAGUCUAGUCUCUAAAGGUACAGUGGUGAGCAAAAUGGAUACAGUCCUUACACUCAUGGAGCUUAGAGGACAUUCAAAAAUAAUUACACAAAUAAAUGUAAAAUUACAACUGUGAUAAGAGCUACACAAGAGAACAAGUAUAGGAAAGCCAAGGAUAUGGAUCCAACUGGAACGACUGGAAGGCUUCCCAAGGAAGUGAUGACUGAGGCACCAUGCUGGCAAUACUGGAGAAUGACUGGACUUCCAGAUGAAUGUGUGGGAUUUAAGAUGCCUGUGAGAUAUCCAAGUACAGAUGCAAGAUGCCCUCAAAACGUUUCUCCUUCUGUGAGCCCCACAAGGCUUCACUCACUCCCCAGCUAGAAAAUAAGCUCCCGAAGAAAGGAGUUUUUGUCUUUUGUUCAUUGCUAAGUGUGCUGCAGUUCCUAAGGUUUUGGACAUCUAGUACAAUUUACUGGUUGUAUAACGGAAUAAACCUCUUUCAUCUCUUGCCUCA
Long non-coding RNA from Neofelis nebulosa (Clouded leopard), 3882 nucleotides. RefSeq lists it as uncharacterized. The record is from RefSeq and is a predicted model, not a curated record. The transcript is spliced from 5 exons. Lineage: Eukaryota; Metazoa; Chordata; Mammalia; Carnivora; Felidae.